This 1188-nucleotide long non-coding RNA is filed under the name Homo sapiens (human). RNAcentral describes it as "HSALNT0363434". The record is from RNAcentral. Lineage: Eukaryota; Metazoa; Chordata; Mammalia; Primates; Hominidae.
UGCGGAGGCAAAUGGAAGAAAGAGCCCAACAGGUGGAAUCAUAUUAGAGAGUCUUGAACGCCAAGAUGAAGCAAGCUUUUCAUUCGCCAGCUGCCACAUAGUGAGAUGGUCUUUGGAGAGGCCCAAGUAGCAGCAAUCAACCAUCAACAAACAGAAGCCCUCAGUCCCACAAUCCGAAAAGAAUUGAAUUAUGCAAACAACCACAAGAAUGAGCUUGGAAGCAGAUUCACCCCAGAAGGACCUGGAGAAGAGUUGACUGUAGCCUCCGAGAGAUCCGAGCCAGAGACCUGCUAAGCCACGCCCCCAUUCCUGACCCACAGAAACCAGGAUAAUAAAUGUGUGUUGUUUUAAGUCUCUAAGUUUUGGGGUAAUUUGUUAGAUAGCAAUAGACAACUAACAGUCUCCAAUAUUUAAUGCCAGUUAUUUACUGUGUUGGGUCGUGGGGACAUUAAGGUGUUCUUUUAGCCUUCAAGGGGUACCUAGUCUGGUGAGGUAAGGCAGACAUGUGUGAUUGUGUUACUGUGUGUAUUGGGUCAUUGGGUGGGCUGGAGAGGGGACUGCCUAUCUUACACAGCCUGGAGGUGUCAGGGCAGGCUUUUUGGGGAGGUGUCACUCACAAAGCAGAAUUUUGAAAGGUGAGUAAGAGCUUGCCAGUUGCUAUAGUUUGAAUGUCUGUUCCAAAACUCAUGUCGAACUAUAAUUGCCAUUAUGACAGUAUCAAGAGGUGAUUAGGUGACUGGAUUACUGCAAUUAUCAGGAAGUGGGUUCUUGAUAAAAGUGAGUUCAACCCCCUCUUGUCCUUGCUCACGUUUACUUUCUCUUACCCUUCCACCUUCUGCCAUGGGAUGACAUAGCACGAAGGCCCACAUCGGAGGCUGAUGCCAUUCUUUUGGACUUCCCAGCCUCCAGAACCAUGAAUCAAAUGAACAGUUGUUUAGAAAUUAACCUGUCUCUGUUACAGCAACACUAAUCAGCCUAAGAUACCAGGUGAAGAAGGCAGAGAAGCAGUGAGGAGGGAAGGAGGAGAACACAGAUUUUCUCCCUCUCCUCAGUGGAUUUGGGAAGUUGUUUUAAGACUGCAUCCUUGGCAAGAGGGUACUCCGCAGCUAUGUGCUUGACGCAAGAGUGAGUGAUUCAUCCCACCACAUCUCAAAAGUCUGUGAGUCAGCCAGUUCUUCCUGGGCUCAG